Molecule: long non-coding RNA, 288 nt
Filed under: Danio rerio (zebrafish)
Lineage: Eukaryota; Metazoa; Chordata; Actinopteri; Cypriniformes; Danionidae
Description: lncRNA si:dkey-248e17.7 (ENSDARG00000099036.2)
Source: RNAcentral
CACACACACACACACACACACACAUGCCCGCAUGCACGCACACACACUCACACACACUCCCUCUGUCUCACACACACUCCCUCUGUCACACACACCCACACACACACACACACACACACACACACACACACACACACACACACAGCUGUGGUUAGUGUGUGUGUAUGUGUGUGUGUGAAAGAGUGUGUGGCUUAGUUAUGGAUCAUCAGUGAAACUGAGCUGAAGACUGACGAGAGAUUUACCCAGAAUCCUCUGCAGGAGCAGUCAGCAGCUGUGUGUGUGUGUGUG